Long non-coding RNA from Oncorhynchus tshawytscha (Chinook salmon), 390 nucleotides. Lineage: Eukaryota; Metazoa; Chordata; Actinopteri; Salmoniformes; Salmonidae. The record is from Ensembl.
AGGCUGGUCAAUAUAUAUACUGAACAGGGAUGGAGAGUGAGCUGGUGAGGUAGGCUGGACAAUACAUAUACUGAACAGGGAUGGAGAGUGAGCUGGUGAGGUAGGCUGGACAAUACAUAUACUGAACAGGGAUGGAGAGUGAGCUGGUGAGGUAGACUGAACAGGGAUGGAGAGUGAGCUAGUGAGGUAGGCUGCAGUGGGUUUGCUGGUCAAUACAGUAUACUGAACAUGUAACCACAGUAACGGUGGCCAGUAAAUCAAUGAAUAAAAAUGUAAUAUUGACAAAUGAAAAAGAAACUGUAGACCUUUUAAUCUUUUCCAACAUGUCAACAGACACUUAACUUCAAAUUAGCACAAAACAUUUCAGUGUUAACCUCCUCUUUAUCCCUG